RNAcentral lists this ribosomal RNA (465 nucleotides) under uncultured bacterium. Its description in RNAcentral is "partial 16S ribosomal RNA". It matches the Rfam family "Bacterial small subunit ribosomal RNA", at positions 28 to 507 of the family's 1533-position model. The record is from RNAcentral.
GACGAACGCUGGCGGCGUGCUUAACACAUGCAAGUCGAACGGAAAGGCUCUGCUUGCAGGGUACUCGAGUGGCGAACGGGUGAGUAACACGUGGGUGAUCUGCCCUGCACUUCGGGAUAAGCCUGGGAAACUGGGUCUAAUACCGGAUAGGAGCCAUUUUUAGUGUGAUGGUUGGAAAGUUUUUUCGGUGUAGGAUGAGCUCGCGGCCUAUCAGCUUGUUGGUGGGGUAAUGGCCUACCAAGGCGGCGACGGGUAGCCGGCCUGAGAGGGUGGACGGCCACAUUGGGACUGAGAUACGGCCCAGACUCCUACGGGAGGCAGCAGUGGGGAAUAUUGCACAAUGGGCGCAAGCCUGAUGCAGCGACGCCGCGUGGGGGAUGACGGCCUUCGGGUUGUAAACUCCUUUCGCUAGGGACGAAGCUUUUUGUGACGGUACCUAGAUAAGAAGCACCGGCUAACUACGUG